CAAUGGAGAGUUUGAUCCUGGCUCAGGACGAACGCUGGCGGCGUGCUUAACACAUGCAAGUCAAGGAGAACGU
Molecule: ribosomal RNA, 73 nt
Filed under: Fidelibacterota bacterium
Lineage: Bacteria; Pseudomonadati; Fidelibacterota
Description: partial 16S ribosomal RNA
Rfam family: Bacterial small subunit ribosomal RNA
Source: RNAcentral